RNAcentral lists this long non-coding RNA (983 nucleotides) under Rattus norvegicus (Norway rat). Its description in RNAcentral is "long non-coding RNA NONRATT027140". The record is from RNAcentral. Lineage: Eukaryota; Metazoa; Chordata; Mammalia; Rodentia; Muridae.
CGGAGCUCCGCCGCCACCCAAGAGGGGUGGGGGAAGUUCCUUUUUCUCUUCGCCUGGUUGCGGUGGCCGGAGAGGGAUGCGGACUCAACAGAAAUGGUAGGGGCAAGUGCGAGGGGCCGGGCCUAAACCAGGCCGGGAGGAGGGUACAGCAACACUGAUCCCACGAGCACGUCCGCUGCAGCGAAUUCUCGGGAACUCACAGCUCUACAGACGCAGUCCCCAGCCCGCCACAGCGAGUCCCUGCCCAGCCGAGGUCUCUCGGAGCUCCGCCGCCGCCAUCAGCCUCUUCCUCCUCGGCGCUGUCCUCCUCCUUCUCAUCGCCACAAGGAGGCGGGGGCGAAAAAAGGGGGAGAGGAGGAGGCGACCAGAGACACUCACCUCCUCCCGGUGCCCCCUCCCGGGCUUGCGCCCCCACCCUGCGAGCCCUCCUCCUCCUCCUGCCGCUGCGCUCUGCGCCGCUGCUGCCGCACCGGCCCCUAAUGGCCGCACUGAGCUCACCCGAGCCGAGAGCCAGACUGGCGCCGGAGCCACCUCACAUCGCGCAGCGGACAGCGGAGGCGCGGCGACGAAGCCGAGCGUGGAGCUCGCCGGCCCGAAGGGCCAGGGGGGCCGGGCCGAGCAGGGCGGCCCGCCCGCAAGCCCGCGCCGACGCCAAGCCCACCGACGCGGCCUCUCCGCGCGCCGCGCUCUCCGCCUCCACUCGCAAGCCCGUGGAGGAGAAAUAAGUACGGCCGCCUCUCUGGCCCUCACGCCCGGCAGCCAGGUGCUGGGAGCUCCCGCCCCCCCCCGGGGGCUCGGCUCGGGGGCCGCCCUGGACGGCGGGCGAAGGCGCCGCGGGGCGCGGGGUUAUGUAAUGGUCCCCCCUUAGGCGUCGACGCCGGCCCGGGCUGCAGUGGGGGUGUGUGCGGGCAGGAGGGGGCUAGGGGUCGCCUCAGCCUUUGCGCCCCGGGCCCCCAACCACUGUCUCGGUCGCGGCCGCUGCU